RNAcentral lists this ribosomal RNA (253 nucleotides) under uncultured bacterium. RNAcentral's name for it is "partial 16S ribosomal RNA". It matches the Rfam family "Bacterial small subunit ribosomal RNA", at positions 524 to 776 of the family's 1533-position model. The record is from RNAcentral.
UACGGGGGGGGCAAGCGUUGUUCGGAAUUACUGGGCGUAAAGGGCUCGUAGGCGGCCAACUAAGUCAGACGUGAAAUCCCUCGGCUUAACCUGGGAACUGCAUCCGAUACUGGAUGGCUUGAAUCCGGGAGAGGGAUGCAGAAUUCCAGGUGUAGCGGUGAAAUGCGUAGAUAUCUGGAGGAAUACCGGUGGCGAAGGCGGCAUCCUGGACCGGCAUUGACGCUGAGGAGCGAAAGCUAGGGGAGCAAACGGG